RNAcentral lists this transfer RNA (72 nucleotides) under Candidatus Parcubacteria bacterium. Its description in RNAcentral is "tRNA-Thr". It matches the Rfam family "tRNA". Rfam says of the family: Transfer RNA (tRNA) molecules are approximately 80 nucleotides in length. Their secondary structure includes four short double-helical elements and three loops (D, anti-codon, and T loops). The record is from RNAcentral. Lineage: Bacteria; Candidatus Parcubacteria.
GCCGGCGUAGCUCAGCGGUAGAGCAACCGCCUUGUAAGCGGUGGGUCGUGGGUUCAAAUCCCUCCGCCGGCU